UAAAAAACAGUUUUUCUUUUUCAAACAUUUUUUAAAAUCAGUUUUUUUAUUUUUUUUUAUUUUUUAUUUUUUAUUUAAAUCAUAAGCCAAACAAGCACUUUAAAAACGUAUCAUUCCCAUCAUUCUCACAAGACCCAAACCCCAAACAUGCCCUAACUCCCGUUCUCACAAGACCCAAACCCUGACGAUCUCUCUACUCUAACUCCUCCGCUCCCCGGAGGCCAAAACACUACCUUCCUUUCUUCGCCGGUGAUCUAAGAAACCCUUUGAAUUCGACAGGAUUUGUUUGUGGUCGCGCGUUCUUCAGUUAUUCUGCCCUCAACAAACCCAAACACCCCUGACCCAUAGCGAUCUAUGUAACUCCACUGCCGGAGACCUAAACAGUAAACACCCCCAACCUGCGCAGGUUAAAAAAGAAUUUGAACAAAAAGGCAAAAACAUGAGACUGAGUGCAUGGUUUGGUUAACAUUAUGGAAGUAGUGAACAAUGUUGAAAAAGCCAUAGCACAUAUACAGUUAUCCACAUCAAUGGAAGUGGAACAUUGAGUCUGAUGAUCAGGAAAAUUUUAUGAAGAAGAAAGCUGUGAAGGUUGCAUCAACUUUUAAAUCAUACUUUGUUAUAAAUUUUAUGAUCCAAGGAUUGAAUGACUGUCUUAAAUAUGGUUUUAUAAAACUGAUGUAUAUAAUAGGUUCGUUGCACAAAAAACUACCCCUGAGUUUUUGGUAUGUUUUAAUUGUUUAUUUAUUGUUAUUGUUAUUGUUGUUAUUAUUAUUUUGUUGGUAUGUAUGAAGGCAAAAAGUGCAAAAGCUAAAGAAAGCAAUGACAAAAGAAUAUUCAUUGUGUGCUUAGCACGAAGUGGAUGGUAGGGUCUUGAACAAAAAAGACAGUAUAUGGCCUCAACUUGUAUCAAAAUACGAGUUUCUGGAUCGUAUACAAAAUGAACGGUUUAGGCUGUAUUUAAUGGUUUUGCAAUAAAAAACAAAAAAACCAAUAUGUAUGAUUUUUCUACAAGGGUCAAUUGAAGAUUUUCAUUUUAUGGUAAACAAUUAUGUUUUUCACUUGAUGAAGAUUUUGUUUUUUUACUAAAUAUAUCUUGCCAAGUAUUUUUUUUUCAUAGGAACAAAAAGAGAAAAGAAUGAUAGCCGAUGUGAGUAAUUUUCAAAAUAAAAAAGACCCAUUAGUUAGACUUUUGGGACACGAUCACGGGGGCGAUCACAAAGAAUAUCCAAUAUCAUUGGCCCUACUCAAGUUUACUAUGGAUUGUUUAAGAAUGUGGAAAAUAGUUGAAACACGAAACCACAUGUUGACAUGAUCCCAACAUUCCAUGAAUCUAGUUGUUCGUCUGGUGGAUGGUUGACAGAUGAUCCACCUAUUGAAGUAAUAUAUUUAUAGUUUCCACAUAAAAAGGAUAUUUAAUUAUAUAUAUAUAUAUAUAUAUAUAUAUCAUGUUUUUAUAUUAUAUUUAAAAAAAAUAUUGUAUGAUUUGCAGGUUAGGAUAGAAUGUGAUUUGCUUGUGAAUGUGGCUGAUACCCAAUUGAAAAUAGUUUAUGAUAUUGCAUGGUCAACAUCUGAAAUGGUAAUACAUUCAAAACCUAUAAAUAAAGGUUGUGUGAAAGUUAAGGUUAAUGAAAUCAUCGAAAUAUAUGAGAACUUGCCUGUGCAUGCCGUCACAUGAACGGGAUAAGUCGAAUAUGUUAAACAUUCGGUUGGGAUAUGCUAUAAAGGUAUAUUUGUAUUUAAGUAUAACUAUAUAUUUUAGUGUACUUUUAUUUAUAUAUUACAAAAUAUUUUAGCUUGUGAACAAGACACUUAACAAGUCAAAUAGUGGCACGAGAAUGGGGUCGAAUCGUGGUUCGCCACAGAUACACGCUGAUGACAUCACGACGACUUCAGUUUAUCGUCCACAGUCUGAGGAAAACCACAAUCUUUAUCAUCAUGAAAUUAAUGAACAUAUUCAGGGUGGUUUACUUGAUAUGUUGAUUUAAAUGCACCCCGAGCUGGAGCCGAAUUUGAACCCGAACAAAAAUCCCAAUCCGAAACCGAACCCGAACCUGAAUUCUAUACACUUGAAGAUCCUGAGUUGUUAAAGGGAUGCAUCGCCGCAAGGUUCAAGAUACCUAUCAUGGUUUUACAACUAUUUUUAAGAGAUUGACUUUGAUUAUAGCCUUAUGCAUUUGAAAGGUUUUAAAACUAUUUUUAUGAUUGGCUUGAUAUAUAACCCAAUUCUGAUUGUGGUUUUUUUAUCCGCUUUGCAUUAUAAACUUAGAUACUAAAAACAAUCUGUCGCCCGUUGUUGAACAUAUCAAAUAAAUAUUUUCGUAUCAUAAAGGCAAACAAUAUUUUCUUGUUC
Lactuca sativa (garden lettuce) is the source of this 2350-nucleotide non-coding RNA. The record is from RefSeq and is a predicted model, not a curated record. Lineage: Eukaryota; Viridiplantae; Streptophyta; Magnoliopsida; Asterales; Asteraceae.